Molecule: ribosomal RNA, 975 nt
Filed under: Empruthotrema aoneken
Lineage: Eukaryota; Metazoa; Platyhelminthes; Monogenea; Monocotylidea; Monocotylidae
Description: partial large subunit ribosomal RNA
Rfam family: Eukaryotic large subunit ribosomal RNA
Source: RNAcentral
AGCAUAUCAGUAAGCGGAGGAAAAGAAACUAACCAGGAUUCCCCCAGUAACGGCGAGUGAACGGGGAUUAGCCCAGCAUCGAAGCCUAUGGUCGUUUGACUGUAAGGCAAUGUGAUGUUAUGGAUCUUGCCUAGGGUCACUGGUCAACUCGAAGUCCAAUAUUGAAUGUGGCUUUUGUAUAUGGCCCAGAGCGGGUGAUAGGCCCGUGCGAGUUGACUGUUAGUGGUGUUGAGUGGCCUCUAGAUGCAAUGAUCUUUGGAGUCGGAUUGCUUGAGAAUGCAGUCCAAAGUUGGUGGUAAACUCCAUCAAAGGCUAAAUACUGGCACGAGUCCGAUAGCAAACAAGUACCGUGAGGGAAAGUUGAAAAGUACUCUGAAGAGAGAGUAAAUAGUACGUGAAACCACAUGAAGGUAAGCGGGUGGAGUCCAGCUGCUUGCUUUGAGGAUUUAGCCAGCCUGUGCAUAAUGGGUGUUGUGAACUGCCAUACUUUGGUUCGUCAUUAAAAGACGAGUUAAGCUUUGCUUAAUCCAUGUGCUUUCUUGUAGAGAGUGUGGGCCAUGUAUGUAUUGGUGUGUGUGUUCGCAGGUUGGUGUCAUUCCUCAUUGCUAACAUCACAGUCAAUAUUGCUGCUAGUGUAUGAUGCGUCAAACUGACAAAUGGUGAGCCUUGAAGUUCAUCUUUGCCGGGAUGGCAGGUGGUGUGCUUGUGUAUGCGCUUUUAGUGUAUAUUCAUGCAUGCUUAAACAUGGCUACGGCCAGCCGACCAUCAUGUUGUUAUGAUUACAUUAAACUAUGCAGUAUAUUGGUUAUAGUAUGUGCAAUUGCGCGAUCAGUUGUUCAUGUGUCCGAUUCUUGCUCGUGUUGGGUUAUGUGUAACAGCGUGCCCGGUGUGAUGCUUGGUCGUGUAUGUGGGCAAUGAAGUCGUACAGUACGUGUAAACUGUGGUGCUGUGGUAGACGUUCCACCUGACCCGUCU